UACGGGGGGGAGCAAGCGUUGUUCGGAUUUAUUGGGCGUAAAGAGCUCGUAGGCGGCCCUCCACGUCGGAUGUGAAAGCUCAGGGCUCAACCCUGAGAUGCCAUUCGAUACGGGGAAGGCUAGAGGUAGGUAGGGGAAAGUGGAAUUCCUGGUGUAGCGGUGAAAUGCGCAGAUAUCAGGAGGAACACCAAUGGCGAAGGCAGCACUCUGGGACGUGACUGACGCUGAGACGCGAAAGCGUGGGGAGGCAAACAGG
RNAcentral lists this ribosomal RNA (256 nucleotides) under uncultured bacterium. RNAcentral describes it as "partial 16S ribosomal RNA". It matches the Rfam family "Bacterial small subunit ribosomal RNA", at positions 524 to 776 of the family's 1533-position model. The record is from RNAcentral.